UACGAAGAGUGCAAGCGUUACUCGGAAUUACUGGGCGUAAAGCGUGCGUAGGUGGUUCGUUAAGUCUGAUGUGAAAGCCCUGGGCUCAACCUGGGAAUGGCAUUGGAUACUGGCGGACUGGAGUGCGGUAGAGGAUGGCGGAAUUCCCGGUGUAGCAGUGAAAUGCGUAGAGAUCGGGAGGAACAUCUGUGGCGAAGGCGGCCAUCUGGACCAGCACUGACACUGAGGCACGAAAGCGUGGGGAACAAACAGG
Molecule: ribosomal RNA, 253 nt
Filed under: uncultured bacterium
Lineage: Bacteria
Description: partial 16S ribosomal RNA
Rfam family: Bacterial small subunit ribosomal RNA
Source: RNAcentral